RNAcentral lists this ribosomal RNA (253 nucleotides) under uncultured bacterium. Its description in RNAcentral is "partial 16S ribosomal RNA". It matches the Rfam family "Bacterial small subunit ribosomal RNA", at positions 524 to 776 of the family's 1533-position model. The record is from RNAcentral.
UACAGAGGUGGCAAGCGUUGUUCGGAAUUACUGGGCGUAAAGGGCGCGUAGGCGGUCUUUUAAGUCUCGUGUGAAAUCCCUCGGCUCAACUGAGGAACUGCACGGGAUACUGGAUGACUUGAGUUCGGGAGAGGGAAGCGGAAUUCCGGGUGUAGCGGUGAAAUGCGUAGAUAUCCGGAGGAACACCGGUGGCGAAGGCGGCUUCCUGGACCGACACUGACGCUGAGGCGCGAAAGCUAGGGGAGCAAACGGG